UUCGUCAUUUGGGCAAAAAAUAAAAAAAAAAACACACACACUUCUUGUGUUUCUGCUCAUGAGCCCAUAAAUAUUUACAUGUGUGGAUAUGCGGAGUCAUUAUCUUUCACCCGAAACAUAAUCUCCGGCCGAGUGCAAAUUGUUCUCGCCUCCGCCGCAAGAAUGAUGGACUUCUAUGGAUUGGUUCUGCGAUGUGGGAUGUUCAAUGUUGGAUGUGUUUCUGAUGGCGUCGCCGCAGCUGGCUUAAAUCAAUCCCAGCUCCCGUUCAUUAUUUUUUAUUCACUGUAUGUAUGUAUGUAUGUAGGUAUUUUCCAGCUGAAGCGGGAGCAUUAAUAUCAUUGGGUCCCAAGGGAUUGGCCACAUGUGCAGUUUGCCGGUUUGCCGGCCGCCGAGGACAAAUGUCAGCGAACGGGACGCGGUUUUUCACAUUUUCAGCGAUUUCCACGAACCGAGCCCACAUCCCAACCGCCCUGGGCUGUGCAGUGGAACCACCCUAAUGUGAAGUCAGGGAAUUCUAGCGUAUAUGCUUGCAUACUUCUACUGAGCACCUGUAUGUAGCUAGAAUUUCUUUCCAUGAAUUUCUUACCAGAUGGCUGGCAAUUUCCGCUCUAGCGAGGCCGCACUGUGCGCGAUAUGUGUGAUAGAUGUAACACGUAUCCUGGGAGUGGAUGAAGGGCGCAUUAAUCGCCGCACGAUGAGCACACUGAUAUGGCUGUCGCAGAUGAUAAUGGCAAUACAACUGACUGCACAAUGAGCUGACCAUAUGCGCACAUAGACAAUAAAAUACGAAUGCGAAUGCGAGUGUGAGUAUAUGCCACCCCAUUUUUGAAGGCCGCCCCGGUGCAUUUGACAGUGGGCGAAGUUGCGCUUCAUGUGGAUGCGGAUGUAGCCAAGGACGAGGAUGAGGAUGAGGAUGAGGACGAGUAGUGGGAUUGGGAGUGGGAUGUGGCAAGUAGUAGGCAUUGGACAAACGUAGCACAUUUAAUGAACAUGCCGACAUGAGUUAUGGCUCGUUUGUUCGACUUUUCUUUUAUUUUUUCUCUUUUUUGGUCAGUAGUUGAGCUACCCUUGAAGUGGGCAUAUGUACAUAAACAAUUCAGGCGAUUUGAUUUUAUUCACCAGAUCGAAUUACGGGUGGAAACACUUCAGUGGUUGAUUUCGAACAUGUGCCAGUUUCGAACAAACGUUUUUGAAGCAUCUGAUUAAAUGCCGCUUGAUAGAUGAUACCAAUUAUUCAAAAGCUGUCUAAAAGUAGACUUUAAAUUCGCACGAAAUAUGGCAAAUCGGGCACACAGCUGCUGGUUGACAUCCCAUUUGGUGAUCUAUCUGCGCGCUGCGAAUGCAAAUGAUAUUUCGCAUUAACUUUGAUGGAGAUGAGCGAAUUCCGAUUUGCGGCGACACAGACUGAGACACCCCAAUCGCAGUAUAUCAGACAUUCGGAAUCUCCGGUGUGCCGUCCACAGAACUUUGUUUCCAUCCAAGAGCCAAAUGCCCAGCCCCCUGGGCACAAAGUGCCAAGUCAGACGGAUGCAGACAUAUCUCUCAUUUAGCAUACCGUACUUUGCAGCUCAUCUUUAUUUCUUGGCAAGUUGUGUGCAAUUCAUUAAAAGCGAAAUCUGCUCGAAUGCGAAUAAUGCAAAU
Molecule: non-coding RNA, 1641 nt
Organism: Drosophila melanogaster (fruit fly)
Lineage: Eukaryota; Metazoa; Arthropoda; Insecta; Diptera; Drosophilidae
Source: Ensembl